AUUGAACGCUGGCGGCAGGCCUAACACAUGCAAGUCGAACGGUAACAGGGAGCAGCUUGCUGCUCUGCUGACGAGUGGCGGACGGGUGAGUAAUGUCUGGGAAACUGCCUGAUGGAGGGGGAUAACUACUGGAAACGGUAGCUAAUACCGCAUAACGUCUACGGACCAAAGUGGGGGACCUUCGGGCCUCAUGCCAUCAGAUGUGCCCAGAUGGGAUUAGCUAGUAGGUGGGGUAACGGCUCACCUAGGCGACGAUCCCUAGCUGGUCUGAGAGGAUGACCAGCCACACUGGAACUGAGACACGGUCCAGACUCCUACGGGAGGCAGCAGUGGGGAAUAUUGCACAAUGGGCGCAAGCCUGAUGCAGCCAUGCCGCGUGUAUGAAGAAGGCCUUCGGGUUGUAAAGUACUUUCAGCGGGGAGGAAGGUGUUGUGGUUAAUAACCGCAGCAAUUGACGUUACCCGCAGAAGAAGCACCGGCUAACUCCGUGCCAGCAGCCGCGGUAAUACGGAGGGUGCAAGCGUUAAUCGGAAUUACUGGGCGUAAAGCGCACGCAGGCGGUCUGUUAAGUCAGAUGUGAAAUCCCCGGGCUCAACCUGGGAACUGCAUUUGAAACUGGCAGGCUUGAGUCUCGUAGAGGGGGGUAGAAUUCCAGGU
RNAcentral lists this ribosomal RNA (657 nucleotides) under Cronobacter sakazakii. RNAcentral's name for it is "bacterial SSU rRNA". It matches the Rfam family "Bacterial small subunit ribosomal RNA", at positions 28 to 674 of the family's 1533-position model. Lineage: Bacteria; Pseudomonadati; Pseudomonadota; Gammaproteobacteria; Enterobacterales; Enterobacteriaceae. The record is from RNAcentral.